UACGUAGGGGGCAAGCGUUAUCCGGAUUUACUGGGUGUAAAGGGAGCGUAGACGGCGAUGCAAGCCAGAUGUGAAAGCCCGGGGCUCAACCCCGGGACUGCAUUUGGAACUGCGUGGCUGGAGUGUCGGAGAGGCAGGCGGAAUUCCUAGUGUAGCGGUGAAAUGCGUAGAUAUUAGGAGGAACACCAGUGGCGAAGGCGGCCUGCUGGACGAUGGCUGACGUUGAGGCUCGAAAGCGUGGGGAGCAAACAGG
This 253-nucleotide ribosomal RNA is filed under the name uncultured microorganism. RNAcentral's name for it is "partial small subunit ribosomal RNA". It matches the Rfam family "Bacterial small subunit ribosomal RNA", at positions 524 to 776 of the family's 1533-position model. The record is from RNAcentral.